RNAcentral lists this ribosomal RNA (568 nucleotides) under uncultured phototrophic eukaryote. Its description in RNAcentral is "bacterial SSU rRNA". It matches the Rfam family "Bacterial small subunit ribosomal RNA", at positions 60 to 671 of the family's 1533-position model. The record is from RNAcentral.
AGUCGUACGAGAGUUUUUAACUCAAGUGGCGGACGGGUGAGUAACACGUAAGAAUUUGCCUCUAGGAGGGGGAUAACAACUGGAAACGGUUGCUAAUACCCCAUAUGCUUUCGAGUGAAAUGGAUUUCCGCCUAGAGAGAAGCUUGCGGCUGAUUAGCUUGUUGGUGAGGUAAUGGCUCACCAAGGCGACGAUCAGUAUCUGGUUUGAGAGGACGAUCAGACACACUGGAACUGAGACACGGUCCAGACUCCUACGGGAGGCAGCAGUGGGGAAUUUUCCGCAAUGGGCGAAAGCCUGACGGAGCAAUACCGCGUGAGGGAUGACGGCCUAUGGGUUGUAAACCUCUUUUUUCAGGGAGGAAUCAAUGACGUGUACCUGAAGAAUAAGCAUCGGCUAACUCCGUGCCAGCAGCCGCGGUAAGACGGAGGAUGCAAGUGUUAUCCGGAAUCACUGGGCGUAAAGCGUCUGUAGGUGGUUUAAUAAGUCAACUGUUAAAUCUUGAGGCUCAACCUCAAAAUCGCAGUCGAAACUAUUAGACUAGAGUAUAGUAGGGUAAAGGGAAUUUCC